Molecule: ribosomal RNA, 460 nt
Filed under: uncultured bacterium
Lineage: Bacteria
Description: partial 16S ribosomal RNA
Rfam family: Bacterial small subunit ribosomal RNA
Source: RNAcentral
CCUACGGGAGGCAGCAGUGAGGAAUAUUGGUCAAUGGCCGGAAGGCUGAACCAGCCAUGCCGCGUGAAGGUCAGUGCCCUAUGGGCGUUAAACUUCUUUUGUGCGGGAGCAAUAAUGGUCACGUGUGGCCAGACGAGAGUACCGUACGAAUAAGCAUCGGCUAACUCCGUGCCAGCAGCCGCGGUAAUACGGGGGAUGCAAGCGUUAUCCGGAUGUAUUGGGUUUAAAGGGUGCGUAGGCUGUGAGGUAAGUCAGCGGUGAAAUGCCCCCGCUCAAAGGGGUGAAGUGCCAUUGAUACUGGCUGGCUGGAAUGCGGAUGAGGUAGGAGGAAUGUGUGGUGUAGCGGUGAAAUGCAUAGAUAUCACACAGAACACCGAUUGCGAAGGCAUCUCACGAAUCCGCGAUUGACGCUGAUGCACGAAAGCGUGGGUAUCAAACAGGAUUAGAUACCCUAGUAGUC